This is a long non-coding RNA of Mirounga angustirostris (Northern elephant seal), 376 nucleotides long. RefSeq lists it as uncharacterized. Lineage: Eukaryota; Metazoa; Chordata; Mammalia; Carnivora; Phocidae. The transcript is spliced from 2 exons. The record is from RefSeq and is a predicted model, not a curated record.
GGCAUCCAGUUGUUGCUAUCUUUGGCACCUCCAUAGAAGGGCAACAAUCAGCAGGGCUGGUUACUAAAUUCUGCAUCACACUAGCUCAGCCCUCCUCCCUGACACUGGUGUGCAAAUCUGCUCAUUGAGAUUGACCAAAGCAGUAUCCUUUUAACGGAGCCCUUUCUGAAACCUUGCACUGAAACAUUUCUAACCUACUUGGGAGUACAAGGAGGUGACAGCAUGCACACUCAAGUUCUGGAUUCGAAGGCGGUCUUCCUCUGCACCGAUCUGAGGGGUGGGCCGGACACUCGGACACUCGCAGCAGCAAGAGCGCCCCCUCAGGCCAGCCCGUGUGCAAGGAGGGGCCCCAUCAGACCUCCCGGAGAUGUGGAAA